Folsomia candida is the source of this 771-nucleotide long non-coding RNA. RefSeq lists it as uncharacterized. Lineage: Eukaryota; Metazoa; Arthropoda; Collembola; Entomobryomorpha; Isotomidae. The record is from RefSeq and is a predicted model, not a curated record. The transcript is spliced from 3 exons.
UAACCAAAACCAACACCUACCUACUUUUACAUGCGACAUGCAACUGUUUCAUUACAGUUUUGUUUAUAAACUGGUUGCUUUAAACGCUGUAAAUUCACCACAAUGCUACCAACCAGCUCUGAUAUAUGAUUAUUAUUAUUGUUAUUGAAAAGUUGCUGUCGUAAAAUAUUUGUUCAAAAUAUUAUAUCUCUCUUCCAAUAUAUGUAUCCUUACAGGCAAGCAGAACAACGGGGUAGCUAUUAAGUAGAUCAAAUGUUUGGAAAUAUACUUAUCGGGAAAAAGAAUUAGGCAAGCAUGAUUUGUAGUCUUUCCACGAAAUGCAUUGCUUCUACAGCAGAUAAAAAUUGGGGCAUUAAUAAUUUCGACGAGACUCCAAUAUUUAAAUAGUCGAAGGAAAAGAACUGAUUUUGCAUUCUAUGUAUUACCUGAGCAGCUUAUUAAGCUGCAUUGUUUUUAAGCCAAUAUCAUCUACCAAACACCUGCAUCUAGUUCUUGGUCUCAGAAAGAUAUUCUCGACACAUUUCCCAGUGGCACUUACUUGUUGAUCCAAUUUCAUUUUUCGGGCGAUGGGAAUUGGGACGGCUGAAACGGAGUCGUCUCCAUUUCCAGACACUGUCAUUCUGUGCAAGAACAAGGAGGUGAACAAGAGAACAAAAGCAACACUUUUGACAUUUGGGAAGGAAGCAACUCUGUAAUUUUAACUAUUAAUGGGAACUUUCUCUGGUGAAGUAUGUACGUAUUUACGACUAACCGCAGUUUUUUAUGUCAAGC